CAGGAUGAUGAAGGUCAGACCGCACUGCACUACGCCUCAGCUUGUGAGUUUGCAGAAAUAGUUGAGCUACUCCUGAAGGCUGGAGCUGACCCAUCAAUCAAAGAUCAAGAAGGCUCCCUUCCAGAAGAGGUGACAGAGUCUAGCGCUAUCUCCUCUCUCCUGCGCCAGUACACUGCUCCCAAAGGCUAAAUCUCACUCUGUGAAAUCUCACUCCAAAAAUCAAACCAAACCCACAUGAUCAAGUUAAAAGUUCAUACAAACUGUGCUCCUCAUCCACAUGGUACAUGCCUGCGGUCAAACUGACACUAGUUCCAGACCUGAACUCAAUCAGUUCAGCAUUCUAGAACUAUUAUCAUUGAUUCCAUUUGGCUCUGAAGCACAGUUGUUAUACUUUCAAACAGUUAAGUUCAGACAACCUGUCCUCCCUCGUCCUAGAAUGAUACAUUCCAAUGAAUGUGUUAAUGUUGUUACUAUUAAAGACAUGGAAACACACAA
Molecule: long non-coding RNA, 495 nt
Organism: Carassius auratus (goldfish)
Lineage: Eukaryota; Metazoa; Chordata; Actinopteri; Cypriniformes; Cyprinidae
Exons: 2
Source: RefSeq, a predicted model, not a curated record